Molecule: ribosomal RNA, 1918 nt
Filed under: Triticum aestivum (bread wheat)
Lineage: Eukaryota; Viridiplantae; Streptophyta; Magnoliopsida; Poales; Poaceae
Description: partial small subunit ribosomal RNA
Source: RNAcentral
GUUGGGAUCGGCGGUGUGGAGAGGAAAGAGGGAGCGAGCUGUAGUAUCCGCGGCGUAGGGGAGGGAGGAAGGACGAGCAGAACUAUCGGCGGCCGGCGGCGUAGGGAAGAGAGCGAAGGAGGAAGGGCGACCGCGGAGAGCGGGAACAGGAGCCUGUCCCCGGAGGGCGUACGUGCCGGUCCAGAAGUUUCGCGCUCCGCACGCCCUCCGCACACGCUCCGGAUGCACUCAAGGUUUGAGAGAGUCCGCCUAACUCCUCUUCCCCUCCCCACUACGCUACACCUAGGUUCCUUCCUCCCGAGCCCGUCGACGAAGGAGAAGGUGGGUCGGCCUGCUCCACUCGUUGUCGCCGUCCCUACCCGCUGGAGGCCGUCUCAAACCCCUCCCCGCGUAUAGUCCCACUCGAAGGGGUUAGGAAUAAAGGGGAAGCGAGUACUAGAGAGAGAGAGGAUGGGUAGAAGAUACGUUCUAAACACAUCGGAUUUGCGGAGACAUGCUAUACACAUCCAUAUGGAAAACUUCUUGUUUAGUUAGUUUACAAUUAAGAGGUUCCAUUGAACGGAAAAGAUGCGUUCAUGACGAACAAAUCAUGACACCUAUCAUGACACCUAUUCAUUUACAUUCGUACUGGGUUAUUACUAUGCUUGUUCGAAACUCUCCGAGUUAGUAAAAGUAAAUAUGAUUCUUAAUUGGUCAAGUGAUUAAAGAUACGAUGACUAUCACAGCAGACUUAUAUAGAUGAUGUAAGUGACGUGACACGAAUGUAAGUGUGACUAACAUCGACGUUCAAUUCUAGAUCAACAGGUUCUAUUAAGACUCCUAGAUUGUGUUGCACGCCAAAACUUGAUUCACUAGAAAAGACCGGAAUGAGGGUAGAUGAAAAUUUUAGUUAAAAUUACUAUAGCUAUCCAAUUCCAGUAAGUACUCCUCUCCACAACCCCACCUCAGGGUCCACAUCGAUGAUAACGGGAUAGUUAAGACAUCAGUGGAGAAAGACUUGUAACCAAUCAAGAAGUGCUCGCUAUGAUAUGAGAACGACGGAGAAUCAUAAGAGGCAAAUAAGAUUAUUCACAUACACCUGUGUGCGUCUGUCAUUACCUUGUUCGUGUUGUCAAGAGAAACACAAAAUCACCCAUAUACACCUACAUGUCUUUCACCAGAGACAAAUAAUUGCCCAAUGUACAACGACGUUACUUUUACAUAUACCACUAAAAGUAAGACCAAACGUCCCAUCAUGUACCUCGUAUCUUUGACCCAGCUUUCAGACAGAAAACACGUCCUUAAAUGACGUACAGACUAGGGAACGAGCACGAGAGACGAACAGGAGUGAGGCAUCUGGAAAGGAAACGAGCAUCGGUAUGUAAAAUAAGUCUCACGACAGUUCUGCGUAGAGGAAACGGAUAUACCGCCCGUCUCCCGGAUUCGAGAUCGAAUUUGACUUUAGUUACGUACCAUAACAAGUUAAGCUUCACAUGAACUGCACACGUCUAGACUCCUACUUCCCUUCUUCUGCUUUAAAUCGACUCCUCAACUUAUUCUAGUUCCAAUAAUAAGGUGUUAGUAAACAACCCAAAUUCCUAUAUUUGUUGUACCGAAUGCUCCUAAACUUACGACAAGAAAAUCAAGGUGAGAAUUUAGAAAACCAAGAACUUCCGGACGUGAAAGGACCACCUCAUUCUCGUUUUAUUAAGUCUCCGAAAUUUCGACGACGUGAAAUCAUCAAUCCUAGUUAAGAAACAAAACCAAACUUUACGAGGGGUUAAGGGGGAUAAACUAACUAAGUAGACUACCAGUAAACAGUCCGUUUAUUUGUCUUCCGUAUACAUAACAAAACUCACUUCGGUAGGUAUGUUCCGUUAUAUAAUUAAUAGUGUAUACACCUUAACUUCUAUCUCUCUUUACAAUAACAAGAAGACGA